GGGGCCGUAGCUCAGUUGGGAGAGCGCUACAAUGGCAUUGUAGAAGUCGUCGGUUCGAUCCCGUCCGGCUCCACCA
This 76-nucleotide transfer RNA is filed under the name Acidiferrobacteraceae bacterium. RNAcentral describes it as "tRNA-Ala". It matches the Rfam family "tRNA". Rfam says of the family: Transfer RNA (tRNA) molecules are approximately 80 nucleotides in length. Their secondary structure includes four short double-helical elements and three loops (D, anti-codon, and T loops). Lineage: Bacteria; Pseudomonadati; Pseudomonadota; Gammaproteobacteria; Acidiferrobacterales; Acidiferrobacteraceae. RNAcentral also lists the same sequence under 1 other name. The record is from RNAcentral.